CCUACGGGGGGCUGCAGUAAGGAAUAUUGGUCAAUGGACGCAAGUCUGAACCAGCCAUGCCGCGUGGAGGAUGAAGGUCCUCUGGAUUGUAAACUUCUUUUAUUUGGGAAGAAACCCACGAUUUCUAUUGUGGUUGACGGUACCAGAUGAAUAAGCACCGGCUACCUCCGUGCCAGCAGCCGCGGUAAUACGGAGGGUGCAAGAGUCAUCCGGAUUCACUGGGUCUAAAGGGUGCAGAGGCGGGCAGGUAGAAAUCCCCGAGCUUAACUUGGGAACUGCCGUUGAUACUAUCUGUAUUGAAUACUGUGGAGGUAAGCGGAAUAUGUCAUGUAGCGGUGAAAUGCUUAGAUAUGACAUAGAACACCUAUUGCGAAGGCAGCUUGCUACACAGUCAUUGACGCUGAGGCACGAAAGCGUGGGGAUCAAACAGGAUUAGAUACCCGUGUAGUC
This 450-nucleotide ribosomal RNA is filed under the name uncultured bacterium. Its description in RNAcentral is "partial 16S ribosomal RNA". It matches the Rfam family "Bacterial small subunit ribosomal RNA", at positions 338 to 795 of the family's 1533-position model. The record is from RNAcentral.